This 397-nucleotide ribosomal RNA is filed under the name uncultured bacterium. Its description in RNAcentral is "bacterial SSU rRNA". It matches the Rfam family "Bacterial small subunit ribosomal RNA", at positions 362 to 776 of the family's 1533-position model. The record is from RNAcentral.
UAUUGCACAAUGGGGGAAACCCUGAUGCAGCGACGCCGCGUGAGUGAAGAAGUAUUUCGGUAUGCAAAGCUCUAUCAGCAGGGAAGAAAAUGACGGUACCUGAUUAAGAAGCCCCGGCUCACUACGAGCCAGCAGCCGCGGUAAAACGUAGGGGGCAAGCGUUAUCCGUGUUUACUGGGUGUAAAGGGAGCGUAGACGGCAGCACAAGUCUGGAGUGAAAUGCCGGGGCUUAACCCCGGAACUGCUUUGGAAACUGUGCAGCUAGAGUGCAGGAGAGGUAAGUGGAAUUCCUAGUGUAGCGGUGAAAUGCGUAGAUAUUAGGAGGAACACCAGUGACGAAGGCGGCUUACUGGACUGUAACUGACGUUGAGGCUCGAAAGCGUGGGGAGCAAACAGG